CGUUCUGUAAGCCUGCGAAGGUGUACUGUGAGGUAUGCUGGAGGUAUCAGAAGUGCGAAUGCUGACAUAAGUAACGAUAAAGCGGGUGAAAAGCCCGCUCGCCGGAAGACCAAGGGUUCCUGUCCAACGUUAAUCGGGGCAGGGUGAGUCGACCCCUAAGGCGAGGCCGAAAGGCGUAGUCGAUGGGAAACAGGUUAAUAUUCCUGUACUUGGUGUUACUGCGAAGGGGGGACGGAGAAGGCUAUGUUGGCCGGGCGACGGUUGUCCCGGUUUAAGCGUGUAGGCUGGUUUUCCAGGCAAAUCCGGAAAAUCAAGGCUGAGGCGUGAUGACGAGGCACUACGGUGCUGAAGCAACAAAUGCCCUGCUUCCAGGAAAAGCCUCUAAGCAUCAGGUAACAUCAAAUCGUACCCCAAACCGACACAGGUGGUCAGGUAGAGAAUACCAAGGCGCUUGAGAGAACUCGGGUGAAGGAACUAGGCAAAAUGGUGCCGUAACUUCGGGAGAAGGCACGCUGAUACGUAGGUGAAGUCCCUUGCGGAUGGAGCUGAAAUCAGUCGAAGAUACCAGCUGGCUGCAACUGUUUAUUAAAAACACAGCACUGUGCAAACACGAAAGUGGACGUAUACGGUGUGACGCCUGCCCGGUGCCGGAAGGUUAAUUGAUGGGGUUAGCGGUAACGCGAAGCUCUUGAUCGAAGCCCCGGUAAACGGCGGCCGUAACUAUAACGGUCCUAAGGUAGCGAAAUUCCUUGUCGGGUAAGUUCCGACCUGCACGAAUGGCGUAAUGAUGGCCAGGCUGUCUCCACCCGAGACUCAGUGAAAUUGAACUCGCUGUGAAGAUGCAGUGUACCCGCGGCAAGACGGAAAGACCCCGUGAACCUUUACUAUAGCUUGACACUGAACAUUGAGCCUUGAUGUGUAGGAUAGGUGGGAGGCUUUGAAGUGUGGACGCCAGUCUGCAUGGAGCCGACCUUGAAAUACCACCCUUUAAUGUUUGAUGUUCUAACGUUGGCCCCUAAUCGGGGUUGCGGACAGUGUCUGGUGGGUAGUUUGACUGGGGCGGUCUCCUCCUAAAGAGUAACGGAGGAGCACGAAGGUUGGCUAAUCCUGGUCGGACAUCAGGAGGUUAGUGCAAUGGCAUAAGCCAGCUUGACUGCGAGCGUGACGGCGCGAGCAGGUGCGAAAGCAGGUCAUAGUGAUCCGGUGGUUCUGAAUGGAAGGGCCAUCGCUCAACGGAUAAAAGGUACUCCGGGGAUAACAGGCUGAUACCGCCCAAGAGUUCAUAUCGACGGCGGUGUUUGGCACCUCGAUGUCGGCUCAUCACAUCCUGGGGCUGAAGUAGGUCCCAAGGGUAUGGCUGUUCGCCAUUUAAAGUGGUACGCGAGCUGGGUUUAGAACGUCGUGAGACAGUUCGGUCCCUAUCUGCCGUGGGCGCUGGAGAACUGAGGGGGGCUGCUCCUAGUACGAGAGGACCGGAGUGGACGCAUCACUGGUGUUCGGGUUGUCAUGCCAAUGGCACUGCCCGGUAGCUAAAUGCGGAAGAGAUAAGUGCUGAAAGCAUCUAAGCACGAAACUUGCCCCGAGAUGAGUUCUCCCUGACUCCUUGAGAGUCCUGAAGGAACGUUGAAGACGACGACGUUGAUAGGCCGGGUGUGUAAGCGCAGCGAUGCGUUGAGCUAACCGGUACUAAUGAACCGUGAGGCUUAACCUUACAACGCCGAAG
RNAcentral lists this ribosomal RNA (1723 nucleotides) under Escherichia coli. RNAcentral describes it as "partial 23S ribosomal RNA". It matches the Rfam family "Bacterial large subunit ribosomal RNA", at positions 1237 to 2925 of the family's 2925-position model. Lineage: Bacteria; Pseudomonadati; Pseudomonadota; Gammaproteobacteria; Enterobacterales; Enterobacteriaceae. The record is from RNAcentral.